UCCUGGCUAGCUCAGUUGGUAGAGCGCUCCAGAGGAAACGGAGACGUCCCUGGUUCGAUACCAGGACCAUGCA
Molecule: transfer RNA, 73 nt
Filed under: Ixodes scapularis (black-legged tick)
Lineage: Eukaryota; Metazoa; Arthropoda; Arachnida; Ixodida; Ixodidae
Description: tRNA-Ser
Source: RNAcentral